This 253-nucleotide ribosomal RNA is filed under the name uncultured bacterium. Its description in RNAcentral is "partial 16S ribosomal RNA". It matches the Rfam family "Bacterial small subunit ribosomal RNA", at positions 524 to 776 of the family's 1533-position model. The record is from RNAcentral.
UACGAAGGGGGCUAGCGUUGCUCGGAAUCACUGGGCGUAAAGCGCACGUAGGCGGAUUGCUAAGUCAGGGGUGAAAUCCUGGAGCUCAACUCCAGAACUGCCUUUGAUACUGGCGAUCUUGAGUCCGGGAGAGGUGAGUGGAAUUGCGAGUGUAGAGGUGAAAUUCGUAGAUAUUCGCAAGAACACCAGUGGCGAAGGCGGCUCACUGGCCCGAUACUGACGCUGAGGUGCGAAAGCGUGGGGAGCAAACAGG